UGGCGGACGGGUGAGUAACGCGUGGGUAACCUGCCUUGUACUGGGGGACAACAGUUAGAAAUGACUGCUAAUACCGCAUAAGCGCACAGUAUCGCAUGAUACGGUGUGAAAAACUCCGGUGGUACAAGAUGGACCCGCGUCUGAUUAGCCAGUUGGUAAGGUAACGGCUUACCAAGGCGACGAUCAGUAGCCGACCUGAGAGGGUGACCGGCCACAUUGGGACUGAGACACGGCCCAA
Molecule: ribosomal RNA, 238 nt
Filed under: uncultured bacterium
Lineage: Bacteria
Description: partial 16S ribosomal RNA
Rfam family: Bacterial small subunit ribosomal RNA
Source: RNAcentral